UAAGACGAACCGUACGAACGUUAUUCGGAAUCACUGGGCUUAAAGGGUGCGUAGGCGGCGGCGCAAGUUGGGUGUGAAAUCCCUCGGCUCAACCGAGGAACUGCGCUCAAAACUGCGUUGCUUGAGGGAGAUAGAGGUGAGUGGAACUUAGGGUGGAGCGGUGAAAUGCGUUGAUAUCCUAAGGAACACCAGUGGCGAAAGCGACUCACUGGGUCUCUUCUGACGCUGAGGCACGAAAGCUAGGGGAGCGAACGGGAUUAGAUACCCCGGUAGUCCUAGCCGUAAACGAUGAGCACUGGGUUGAAGGGUCCUCCAUAGCCCUUCAGCCGUAGCGAAAGUGUUAAGUGCUCCGCCUGGGGAGUAUGGUCGCAAGGCUG
RNAcentral lists this ribosomal RNA (377 nucleotides) under uncultured bacterium. Its description in RNAcentral is "bacterial SSU rRNA". It matches the Rfam family "Bacterial small subunit ribosomal RNA", at positions 521 to 896 of the family's 1533-position model. The record is from RNAcentral.